Molecule: ribosomal RNA, 464 nt
Filed under: uncultured bacterium
Lineage: Bacteria
Description: partial 16S ribosomal RNA
Rfam family: Bacterial small subunit ribosomal RNA
Source: RNAcentral
CUACGGGUUGAUGCAGUGGGGAAUAUUGCGCAAUGGGCGAAAGCCUGACGCAGCGACGCCGCGUGAGGGAAGAAGGCCUUCGGGUCGUAAACCUCUGUCAGGAGGGAAGAAACGCACGGGGAGGAAAUGCUCUGUGCCUGACGGUACCUCCAGAGGAAGCACCGGCCAACUCCGUGCCAGCAGCCGCGGUAAUACGGAGGGUGCGAGCGUUAAUCGGAAUUACUGGGCGUAAAGCGCGCGUAGGCGGUUUGGCAAGUCGGGUGUGAAAGCCCUCGGCUCAACCGAGGAACAGCACUUGAAACUGCCAGACUGGAGUUCGGGAGAGGGUAGCGGAAUUCCGGGUGUAGGGGUGAAAUCCGUAGAUAUCCGGAGGAACACCGGUGGCGAAGGCGGCUACCUGGACCGAUACUGACGCUGAGGUGCGAAAGCGUGGGGAGCUAACAGGAUUAGAUACCCCAGUAGUC